CCUACGGGAGGCAGCAGUGGGGGAUAUUGCACAAUGGGGGGAACCCUGAUGCAGCGACGCCGCGUGGGUGAAGAAGUGCCUCGGCGUGUAAAGCUCUGUUAGCAGGGAAGAAAAUGACGGUACCUGAAGAAGAAGCCCCGGCUAACUACGUGCCAGCAGCCGCGGUAAUACGUAGGGGGCAAGCGUUAUCCGGAUUUACUGGGUGUAAAGGGGGCGCAGACGGCGUUGCAAGCCAGGAGUGAAAGCCCGGGGCCCAACCCCGGGACUGCCCUUGAAACUGGGUGGCUGGAGUGCAGGAGGGGCAGGCGGAAUUCCUGGUGUAGCGGUGAAAUGCGUAGAUAUCAGGAGGAACACCGGUGGCGAAGGCGGCCGGCUGGACUGCAACUGACGUUGAGGCCCGAAAGCGUGGGGAGCAAACAGGAUUAGAUACCCGUGUAGUC
RNAcentral lists this ribosomal RNA (440 nucleotides) under uncultured bacterium. Its description in RNAcentral is "partial 16S ribosomal RNA". It matches the Rfam family "Bacterial small subunit ribosomal RNA", at positions 338 to 795 of the family's 1533-position model. The record is from RNAcentral.